GGCUAACUCCGUGCCAGCAGCCGCGGUAAUACGGAGGGUGCGAGCGUUAAUCGGAAUUACUGGGCGUAAAGCGCAUGCAGGCGGCCUGUUAAGUCAGAUGUGAAAGACCCGGGGCGUUAACCUCGGAAUUGCAUUUGUAAACUGGCAGGCUAGAGUCUUGUAGAGGGGGGUAGGAAGUUUCUAGGUGUAGCGGUGAAAUAGCGUAGAGAUCUGAAGGAAUACCAGUGGCGAAGGCGGCCCCCUCGGACAAAGACUGACGCUCAGAUGCGAAAGCGUGGGGAGCAAACAGGAUUAGAUACCCCUGGUAG
This 308-nucleotide ribosomal RNA is filed under the name uncultured bacterium. RNAcentral's name for it is "bacterial SSU rRNA". It matches the Rfam family "Bacterial small subunit ribosomal RNA", at positions 495 to 793 of the family's 1533-position model. The record is from RNAcentral.